GCGGCGCUCUGGGCCGCUGGUGGCUGCAGGAGGGGCCGCGCAGCCCGGCCGGGCUCCGUCCCGCUGCCCCGCCGGGGCCCGUCCCGCUGCCCGGCCGCGCCUCCCCUCCCCGCGGGCUGCCGGGGCAGGUCCCGCGGGCAUCCCGCCCGGCGCCGGGCUCCCCUCGGCCACUCGCGGGAGGCGGGCGCGCAGGCCCAGCGCUGCUCCCGCCUUCCCCGCUGAAGGGCUGGGCCGUUUCCUCCCCUCUGAGGACCUGACCUCGCUCUUUUCCGUAUCAGGGAGUCCCAGCUUUGCGCGGCCUGCUGAUUUGAUCAGCACACCUCGUUCCUGUCCUGACAGAGGCAUCGCCAUGCUCGAGCUGAAAAAGUAACCUAGCAGAUAAGCAUUCCUUUUAUCAUAAAAGCAAACACGAUGGACCAGCCUCAGAACAACAGCAACUACAAAUACAAACGCAGUGACUGUGGCAGUCUUGGCACUUGAAUGAGCACUUCAUUGAGAUGAAUAGCACAAAUGGAUUUCACUUCCCCUACGUUUACUGAAGGAAGCACAAAAGCUGUCUUGCACAGAGACAAGUGUUUUCAUUGUGAACCAUUACAGAAACUUCCCAACGCACAUCCUCUGAUUCCAAGCCUUCCUUACGUAAGCUUAGACCAGCUUCAACUUCCUUCUGCUGUUAGGAUACAGUUACUCCAUUUUAAAUAGUUCAUCUCCAUGUUUAAUUUAAUGGAAGCUUAUAAUAUAUUGCUAGAUGACAUGAAAGUAUGCUUCUGAUGGCCUGCAAAUUUGACAGAAGCAAUGAGGGGAGGAGGUGGGGAGAGCUGAUGAUUCCAGAAUUUCUACAUGUAUUUCUGCUCUAAACCCCAUAAAUAACUGUAAUUACCAUGCUAACAGGAAACAGAAAUGGGAGGGGUAGUUUUAUUUUUUCUUUAUACAAUCAGCUGCAUCAUAGACUUAGCAAAGUAAGUCAGUGUAGGAUGAGGAAAUUCCCAGCUACAUAAACAAAGCACACGUCCAUCAGAGGCAAAAGGUACAGCUGAGCACAUGUACAGCA
Long non-coding RNA from Apus apus (common swift), 1051 nucleotides. RefSeq lists it as uncharacterized. The record is from RefSeq and is a predicted model, not a curated record. Lineage: Eukaryota; Metazoa; Chordata; Aves; Apodiformes; Apodidae. The transcript is spliced from 3 exons.